CGGCGGCGCUGUGGCCGACCGCGCUGCGCAUGCUGCAGGAAAGUCUGUGGAAGAAGAAAGAAGAAGAAUCAAAUAUGAAACUCAUGAAAUACAUCCUUAAUAAAGCCCUUAAAUUCCAUUACUCUAAACGUCUGGAAUUGACUUGAAGUACUGACAACUGUAGAGCACCAUCUAGUUUUGGCCUCUAGAACUGCAACCAAGUCUUCUGAUUCUCAAUGCGCUUCUCUCUCCUGCCACCUUGUGAAGGAGAAUGUGU
This 256-nucleotide long non-coding RNA is filed under the name Homo sapiens (human). Its description in RNAcentral is "HSALNT0108152". The record is from RNAcentral. Lineage: Eukaryota; Metazoa; Chordata; Mammalia; Primates; Hominidae.